CGCACAGCGAAGCUGAAAGUUCACCCGCGUAAAUUGGCAAAAAUCUGUCGACGUACUGCAAGUUUGCUCUGCGACCAUCUGCUGUACGCUGAUUUGAGUUGGUCUGACAUCGAAGACCUCUUUCUACCGUUGCCAGAAGCGACUUACCGACGACAUGGCCGGCGGCAGUACACGUCUCGCAAAGGAUGGCUCGACGUCGGAAGUAUUGAAGAUGACGUCUUUCGGAGAAUGUUCCGUUUUGAGAAGGCAAAUAUUGAUGAAUUGUCAUCUGCUCUCUUAAUUCCCGAUACGAUUGAGAGCAUUCAGGGAGUACACGUAUCCGGUAAAGAAGCUCUCCUGAUUGCCCUCCGGCGACUCGCAUAUCCUAAUAGGCGGACCGAUUUAGAAGACGUUUUCGGACGACAUACCUCCGUGAUGUCCAGCAUAGUUGCCUCUGUCUUCGGCCACAUUGAGACGACCUUCGGUCACUUCCUGUCCUUGACAAAUCAUCGUUGGCUGAACCUCGCCAACAUCGCUCCGUUUUCCCAGGCUGUGCAUGAUCGAGGUGCACCUUUGACUAAUUGCUGGGGUUUCGUCGAUGGAACUGCUCGACCGAUCUGCCGACCAACGUACAACCAGCGAAUGUACUUCUCCGGGCACAAACGGGAGCACGUUGUCAAAUAUCAGGCCAUUAUAUGUGCCAACGGCAUCGUCUGCGACCUUGCCGGCCCAUAUUUAGGCCACAGGCAUGAUGCAGGAAUACUUCGGGAAAGCGGGCUGUAUGAGAAGCUUCUCCAGUUGAUGCAGGGCAAUACAUUCACUAUAUACGGUGAUCCUGCUUACCCCCUCCGCCCUCUGCUCAUGCGGCCAUAUGCUGGUGCAUGUCUGAAUGUACAGCAGCAAGAAUUCAAUACUGCCAUGAGCGCUGUAAGGCAGUAAAUAGAAUGGGAAUUCGGCAAGACGAUCAGCCUGUUUGCCUUCUUGAACUACAAAAAAAUCAGAAAGUCUUUCUCCAGAAUGUGCCACAAAUGUACCAAGUAGCAACGAUUUUAACCAACUGCCACACUUGCCUUCAUGGCAACCAAGUGGCAAUGUUCUUUCACCUUCGUCCUCCUCCUCUGAAAGAAUACCUUGUAUUACA
This is a long non-coding RNA of Dermacentor albipictus, 1120 nucleotides long. RefSeq lists it as uncharacterized. The record is from RefSeq and is a predicted model, not a curated record. NCBI's taxonomy places the organism in Eukaryota, Metazoa, Arthropoda, Arachnida, Ixodida, Ixodidae.